AUGAUACCAAAGGCAGAGCGCUCUGAUGACCUUGUCGCUGUACGCCUCCGGAUCGGCCGCCUGCAUCUCCACCAGGUCGCCGACCAUCGUCCUGCCGCGGCGGCUCCUCCCCUCGUCAUCGUCCAAGGAGGCGAGGUGCUCGUCGAUGAGCCGCUGCGCCCACUCGUUGCGCUUCCGGGACAGCCGCACCGCGCGCCGCCUGGCGCCGCCGAUGUCCAGCACACCGAGCACCGGCAGGAAGUCCUGCAGGUUGGACGCCCCGUGCAUCGCGAAGUACUCGCGCACCAUCUCCCGGAACCUGCCAGCCUCCUCCACCUCCGACUCCGGCACGUCCCCCUCGCCACCGUAGUACCGCUUCCCGGCGAUCAUCCGCGCCACCAUGUUCAGCGCCAGCUCGAACGCCCGCGCCUUCACGUUGGCGCGCGCGGGGCUUGGCUCCGACGCCCCGUGGGCGGCGGCCUCGAGGAAGAGACGGCGCGCGGCGAGGCGGACCUCGUCUGUGCGGACGGCCGCGGAGCGGAGGAGGCUGCCCGCGGAGAGCACCUCCACGGUGGCGAUGCGGCGGAGGUUGCGCCAGUUGGCGCCGUAGCUGGAGGACCCCAGCGUGGUGUAGCCGUUGGAGAGGUGGCGCGCGGAGGGGAGCCGGGGCCGGUUGGCGAAGACCACGUCGUGCGCCGUCAGGCACUCUUCGGCUGCGGCUGGGUCGGUGACAUGGAGCACGCGGCGGGAGCCGAAGCGGAGGAGCAGCACCGGCCCGUGCGCCGCGGCGAGGUUGGCCAGCGCGCGGUGGAGGGGCUUCUUGAAGAGGUGCAGGUGGCCGAUGACCGGCAGGGACGGCGGGCUCGGCGGCAGCCGGAGGCUGCGCUCACGCCUGCUCUUCCUGAGGAUCCCGAGCAGGAUGAGGACGAAGAGGACCGUGGCAAGCGAGAGGGGCAGGUAGGAGAGCGUCCCGGCGUCCGCCAUGGAUGGGAUCUUGGAGGUCAGCGAGGGUGA
This 993-nucleotide ribosomal RNA is filed under the name Triticum aestivum (bread wheat). RNAcentral describes it as "partial small subunit ribosomal RNA". Lineage: Eukaryota; Viridiplantae; Streptophyta; Magnoliopsida; Poales; Poaceae. The record is from RNAcentral.